This 495-nucleotide ribosomal RNA is filed under the name uncultured bacterium. Its description in RNAcentral is "partial 16S ribosomal RNA". It matches the Rfam family "Bacterial small subunit ribosomal RNA", at positions 28 to 507 of the family's 1533-position model. The record is from RNAcentral.
GAUGAACGCUGGCGGCGUGCCUAAUACAUGCAAGUAGAACGCUGAAGGAGGAGCUUGCUCUUCUGGAUGAGUUGCGAACGGGUGAGUAACGCGUAGGUAACCUGCCUGGUAGCGGGGGAUAACUAUUGGAAACGAUAGCUAAUACCGCAUGACAACAGUUAUUGCAUGAUAACUGUUUAAAAGGGGCAACUGCUCCACUACCAGAUGGACCUGCGUUGUAUUAGCUAGUUGGUGAGGUAACGGCUCACCAAGGCGACGAUACAUAGCCGACCUGAGAGGGGGGUCGGCCACACUGGGACUGGGACACGGCCCAGACUCCUACGGGAGGCAGCAGUAGGGAAUCUUCGGCAAUGGACGGAAGUCUGACCGAGCAACGCCGCGUGAGUGAAGAAGGUUUUCGGAUCGUAAAGCUCUGUUGUAAGGGAAGAACGAGUGUGAGAGUGGAAAGUUCACACUGUGACGGUAUCUUACCAGAAAGGGACGGCUAACUACGUG